RNAcentral lists this unclassified non-coding RNA (240 nucleotides) under soil metagenome. RNAcentral describes it as "partial contains 5.8S ribosomal RNA, internal transcribed spacer 2, and large subunit ribosomal RNA". The record is from RNAcentral.
AACACUGUUAACCUGCGGUACCUGCGGAGGGAUCAUUACAGAGUGUUUAACCCCCUAUAAAAUGGUGGGUCUAACCUCCCGUCCUUUGCCGGGUCCCCCUUCUGGAGGACUUUCAAAACUUUCUGCUUCGGCGGGGUAUACCCGCCGGAACACCCUCAAAAAAUUCUUGAUCAAAAUGGUUCGGUCCGAGAAACUUUUUGUGAAAAUUAGCGAAAAACUUUCAACAACGGAUCUCAGAUC